AGCCAGACUCCUACGGGAGGCAGCAGUGGGGGAUAUUGCACAAUGGGGGGAACCCUGAUGCAGCGACGCCGCGUGGGUGAAGGAGCGUUUCGGCGCGUAAAGCCCUAUCGGCAGGGAAGAAGGAGGACGGUACCUGACUAAGAAGCCCCGGCUAACUACGUGCCAGCAGCCGCGGGAAUACGUAGGGGGCAAGCGUUAUCCGGAUUUACUGGGUGUAAAGGGGGCGCAGACGGCAGCGCAAGCCAGGAGUGAAAGCCCGGGGCCCAACCCCGGGACUGCUCUUGGAACUGCGCGGCUGGAGUGCAGGAGGGGCAGGCGGAAUUCCUGGUGUAGCGGUGAAAUGCGUAGAUAUCGGGAGGAACAUCGGUGGCGAAAGCGCUUUACUGGACCAUUAUUGACGCUGAGGAACGAAAGCCAGGGGAGCAAAUGGGAUUAGAUACCCGAGUA
This 447-nucleotide ribosomal RNA is filed under the name uncultured bacterium. RNAcentral's name for it is "partial 16S ribosomal RNA". It matches the Rfam family "Bacterial small subunit ribosomal RNA", at positions 329 to 792 of the family's 1533-position model. The record is from RNAcentral.